Molecule: ribosomal RNA, 468 nt
Filed under: uncultured bacterium
Lineage: Bacteria
Description: partial 16S ribosomal RNA
Rfam family: Bacterial small subunit ribosomal RNA
Source: RNAcentral
GACGAAUGCUGGCGGCGUGCUUAACACAUGCGAGUCGAACGGAAAGGCCCUGCUUUUGUGGGGUGCUCGAGUGGCGAACGGGUGAGUAACACGUGAGUAACCUGCCCUUGACUUUGGGAUAACUUCAGGAAACUGGGGCUAAUACCGGAUAGGAGCUCCUGCUGCAUGGUGGGGGUUGGAAAGUUUCGGCGGUUGGGGAUGGACUCGCGGCUUAUCAGCUUGUUGGUGGGGUAGUGGCUUACCAAGGCUUUGACGGGUAGCCGGCCUGAGAGGGUGACCGGCCACAUUGGGACUGAGGUACGGCCCAGACUCCUACGGGAGGCAGCAGUGGGGAAUAUUGCACAAUGGGCGGAAGCCUGAUGCAGCAACGCCGCGUUCGGGAUGACGGCCUUCGGGUUGUAAACCGCUUUCGCCUGUGACGAAGCGUGAGUGACGGUAAUGGGUAAAGAAGCACCGGCUAACUACGUG